AAUGAGGGUCGCAUCCAAUGCCCUUAUCACGGAUGGGAGUAUUCCACCGACGGGAAGUGUGAGAAAAUGCCAUCAACAAGAUUACUGAAUGUAAAGAUCAAAGCACUGCCCUGCUUUGAGCAAGAGGGAAUGAUAUGGAUUUGGCCAGGAAAUGAUCCACCUGCAGCUACCCUUCCUUCUUUACUACCACCUUCUGGAUUUCAG
Molecule: unclassified non-coding RNA, 204 nt
Filed under: Hevea brasiliensis (rubber tree)
Lineage: Eukaryota; Viridiplantae; Streptophyta; Magnoliopsida; Malpighiales; Euphorbiaceae
Source: RNAcentral